GCGGCAGGCCUAACACAUGCAAGUCGAGCGGUAGCACAGAGAGCUUGCUCUCGGGUGACGAGCGGCGGACGGGUGAGUAAUGUCUGGGAAACUGCCUGAUGGAGGGGGAUAACUACUGGAAACGGUAGCUAAUACCGCAUAACGUCGCAAGACCAAAGUGGGGGACCUUCGGGCCUCAUGCCAUCAGAUGUGCCCAGAUGGGAUUAGCUAGUAGGUGGGGUAACGGCUCACCUAGGCGACGAUCCCUAGCUGGUCUGAGAGGAUGACCAGCCACACUGGAACUGAGACACGGUCCAGACUCCUACGGGAGGCAGCAGUGGGGAAUAUUGCACAAUGGGCGCAAGCCUGAUGCAGCCAUGCCGCGUGUGUGAAGAAGGCCUUCGGGUUGUAAAGCACUUUCAGCGGGGAGGAAGGCGUUAAGGUUAAUAACCUUGGCGAUUGACGUUACCCGCAGAAGAAGCACCGGCUAACUCCGUGCCAGCAGCCGCGGUAAUACGGAGGGUGCAAGCGUUAAUCGGAAUUACUGGGCGUAAAGCGCACGCAGGCGGUCUGUCAAGUCGGAUGUGAAAUCCCCGGGCUCAACCUGGGAACUGCAUUCGAAACUGGCAGGCUAGAGUCUUGUAGAGGGGGGUAGAAUUCCAGGUGUAGCGGUGAAAUGCGUAGAGAUCUGGAGGAAUACCGGUGGCGAAGGCGGCCCCCUGGACAAAGACUGACGCUCAGGUGCGAAAGCGUGGGGAGCAAACAGGAUUAGAUACCCUGGUAGUCCACGCCGUAAACGAUGUCGAUUUGGAGGUUGUGCCCUUGAGGCGUGGCUUCCGGAGCUAACGCGUUAAAUCGACCGCCUGGGGAGUACGGCCGCAAGGUUAAAACUCAAAUGAAUUGACGGGGGCCCGCACAAGCGGUGGAGCAUGUGGUUUAAUUCGAUGCACGCGAGACUUACCUGGUCUUGACAUCCACAGAACUUUCCAGAGAUGGAUUGGUGCCUUCGGSAACUGUGAGACAGGUGCUGCAUGGCUGUCGUCAGCUCGUGUUGUGAAAUGUUGGGUUAAGUCCCGCAACGAGCGCAACCCUUAUCCUUUGUUGCCAGCGGUUCGGCCGGGAACUCAAAGGAGACUGCCAGUGAUAAACUGGAGGAAGGUGGGGAUGACGUCAAGUCAUCAUGGCCCUUACGACCAGGGCUACACACGUGCUACAAUGGCAUAUACAAAGAGAAGCGACCUCGCGAGAGCAAGCGGACCUCAUAAAGUAUGUCGUAGUCCGGAUUGGAGUCUGCAACUCGACUCCAUGAAGUCGGAAUCGCUAGUAAUCGUAGAUCAGAAUGCUACGGUGAAUACGUUCCCGG
This 1342-nucleotide ribosomal RNA is filed under the name uncultured Klebsiella sp. RNAcentral describes it as "bacterial SSU rRNA". Lineage: Bacteria; Pseudomonadati; Pseudomonadota; Gammaproteobacteria; Enterobacterales; Enterobacteriaceae. The record is from RNAcentral.